GGUGGCUCAGUGGUAGAGUGCUUGCCUUGCAUGCAUGAGGCGCUGGGUUCAAUUCCUCAGCACCA
This is a non-coding RNA of Dipodomys ordii (Ord's kangaroo rat), 65 nucleotides long. The record is from Rfam. Lineage: Eukaryota; Metazoa; Chordata; Mammalia; Rodentia; Heteromyidae.